RNAcentral lists this ribosomal RNA (788 nucleotides) under uncultured marine bacterium. RNAcentral's name for it is "bacterial SSU rRNA". It matches the Rfam family "Bacterial small subunit ribosomal RNA", at positions 94 to 883 of the family's 1533-position model. The record is from RNAcentral.
AGUUGCGAACGGGUGCGUAACGCGUAUGCAACCUACCCAUAACAGGGGGAUAGCCCAUAGAAAUGUGGAUUAAUACCCCAUGAUAUCAUAGAUUGGCAUCAUGAAAUGAUUAAAACUCCGGUGGUUAUGGAUGGGCAUGCGUGACAUUAGCUAGUUGGUGAGGUAACUGCUCACCAAGGCUACGAUGUCUAGGGGUUCUGAGAGGAUGAUCCCCCACACUGGUACUGAGACACGGACCAGACUCCUACGGGAGGCAGCAGUGAGGAAUAUUGCGCAAUGGAGGAAACUCUGACGCAGCCAUGCCGCGUGCAGGAAGACUGCCCUAUGGGUUGUAAACUGCUUUUAUAUAGGAAGAACUACAGCUACGUGUAGCUGUUUGACGGUACUAUACGAAUAAGGACCGGCUAACUCCGUGCCAGCAGCCGCGGUAAUACGGAGGGUCCAAGCGUUAUCCGGAUUUAUUGGGUUUAAAGGGUCCGUAGGCGGGUUAUUAAGUCAGUGGUGAAAUCCUACAGCUCAACUGUAGAACUGCCAUUGAAACUGGUAACCUUGAGUAUAAUUGAAGUGGGCGGAAUGUGUCAUGUAGCGGUGAAAUGCUUAGAUAUGACACAGAACACCGAUUGCGAAGGCAGCACACUAAGUUAUAACUGACGCUGAGGGACGAAAGCGUGGGUAGCGAACAGGAUUAGAUACCCUGGUAGUCCACGCCGUANACGAUGUACACUCGUUGCUGGCGAUAUAUAGUCAGUGACCAAGCGAAAGUGUUAAGUGUACCACCUGGGGAGUAC